This 274-nucleotide ribosomal RNA is filed under the name uncultured bacterium. RNAcentral's name for it is "partial 16S ribosomal RNA". It matches the Rfam family "Bacterial small subunit ribosomal RNA", at positions 523 to 796 of the family's 1533-position model. The record is from RNAcentral.
AUACGGAGGGUGCAAGCGUUAAUCGGAAUUACUGGGCGUAAAGGGCGCGUAGGCGGUCUAUCAAGUCAGUUGUGAAAUCCCACGGCUCAACCGUGGAGGUGCAUCUGAAACUGAUAGACUUGAGUAUGGGAGAGGAAAGUGGAAUUCCCGGUGUAGAGGUGAAAUUCGUAGAUAUCUGGAGGAACACCAGUGGCGAAGGCGACUUUCUGGACCAAUACUGACGCUGAGGCGCGAAAGCGUGGGGAGCAAACAGGAUUAGAAACCCUUGUAGUCC